ACAAAGUAUAACCUUCAAAACCCUGCUGCUGAGAAUCGCGGAGACUUCGAAUCUGCAAACCAUUGAUCACAGAAUGCGGAGAAGAGCUGUCGCCUUCUUUCCACAGAGACGUUUCUUCUCCUCUACCUCUGAGAAUCCUACUUUAUACUCCUUCUUGCAACCCUCCGUCUUUGCGCUGAAAAAAUCUCCAGCGGCAAGCACAGUCCCUACCGGUACCUCUCCUGACCCACCAAUACCAACGCCACGCACUUUAUCCCUAGACUGCAUAAACACCCUGGAAUCCACCAUCCAUAAGUCUGUCCUCACCGGCGACACUGAUGUGGCUUGGAAAUCCUUCAAGUCUCUCACCGCUAAUUCUGCUUUCCCUUCCAAACCUCUCACUAACUCCCUAAUCACUCAUCUCUCCUCUCCUGGUGACACCCUCAAUCUCAAAAGGGCGUUUGCUGCUGUUGUCUAUGUCAUGGAGAAGAACCCGGAGCUGUUAGAUUUUGAAACGGUCCAAAUGGUUCUUAGUUCGAUGAAAUGUGCCAACACUGCUGCUCCUGCUUUUGCUUUAGUCAAGUGUAUGUUUAAGAACAGGUAUUUCGUGCCUUUCGGAUUGUGGGGUGGUUUGCUUGUUGAAAUUAGUAGGAAGAGUGGUCAAUUCGUUGCGUUUUUAAGGGUUUUUGAAGAGAGUUGUAGGAUUGCCAUUGAUGAGAAGUUGGAUUUUAUGAAACCUGACUUGGUUGCUUGUAAUGUGGCUUUAGAGUGUUGUUGUCGCAAACUUGAGUCUGUUACUGAUGCUGAAAAUGUGAUUGAGACAAUGUCUGUUUUGGUUAUUAGGCCUGAUGAAUGGAGUUUUGGGUUUCUUGGUUACUUGUAUGCAUUGAAAGGACUUAAAGAUAAGAUAAACGAGUUAAAGGGUUUAAUGGAUGGGUUUUGUUUUUCCAACAAAAGGUUGUUUUAUAGUAAUUUGAUUAUUGGCUAUGUAAAGUCUGGGAAUUUGGAUUCCGUUUCAACAACUGUUCUAUAUAUCUUGAGGGAAGAAGAUGUGGAGAAUUUAGAUUUCAGUGAGGAAACUUAUUGUGAAGUGAUAAAGGGGUUUCUUAAAGAUGGAAGUCUCAAGGAUUUAGCGCAUUUGAUCAUUGAAGCUCAAAAAAUGGAGCCAGCAACUAUUGUGAUUGAUAAAUCAUUUGGAUUUGGUAUAAUUAAUGCUUGUGUUAAUCUUGGAUUAUCUGAUAAGGCACAUAGCAUUCUUGAUGAAAUGAAUGCUCAAGGUGGUUCAGUUGGUCUUGGGGUCUAUGUGCCAGUCUUGAAGGCAUAUUGCAAAGAGAACAGGACAGCUGAAGCUACUCAACUGGUUAUGGAGAUUAGCAACUCGGGGCUUCAGUUAGAUGAAGGAAGCUAUGAUGCUCUGAUUGAAGCAUCCAUGACCAGCCAGGAUUUUCAGUCAGCUUUUACUUUGUUUAGGGACAUGAGAGAGGCAAGAAUACCUGACUUGAAGGGGAGCUAUUUAACCAUAAUGACAGGAUUGAUGGAGAGCCAUCGACCUGAGUUAAUGGCUGCAUUUUUGGAUGAAGUUGUUGAGGACCCUCGAGUUGAGGUGAAAACUCAUGACUGGAACUCGAUUAUUCAUGCCUUCUGUAAAGCUGGGAGGCUAGAAGAUGCAAAGCGAACUUUUAGAAGAAUGAUAUUUUUGCAGUUUGAACCAAAUGACCAAACAUAUUUGUCCUUAAUUAAUGGGUAUGUGACCGCUGAGAAAUAUUUCAGUGUUUUGAUGCUUUGGAAUGAGGUUAAGCGAAAGGUUUCAAAUGAUAAGGAGAAAGGAAUUAAAUUUGAUCAAAAUUUGGUUGAUGCGUUCUUGUAUGCUUUGGUUAAAGGGGGUUUCUUCGAUGCAGUGAUGCAAGUCGUGGAAAAAUCUCAAGAAAUGAAGAUUUUUGUGGAUAAGUGGAAGUACAAGCAAGCAUUCAUGGAGACACAUAAGAAGCUCAAGAUGUCAAAGUUGAGAAAAAGGAGUUUCCGGAAAAUGGAAGCGCUCAUCGCCUUCAAGAAUUGGGUUGGUCUAAAUGCAUGAACAUCAAGUGUGCCUGUGGCUGUGCUUCGGUAUUGCUUAAGCCUUUCGCUUACCACUCAGGCUGUGCUGCUUAUAAUCAUAUUGCAAUUGCUUGCUUUCUAUUGAGUUUGUUUAAAUGUUUGAAUAUAAUGAGCUGAGUUAACCAAGUCUCAAUUCUAAACCUGUUGGGAUCAGUUUCAAGGAUCCUUUUAGCAGAGUGGAUUUUGUACAAACUUUCAAAGCAGAAAUGAAGGUUUAUGGAGAAGAAGUGCAUUUCUGAAAUUGAGCUGUUUGAAUGAAUAAAUGAAUUGAAGAUGUGCAUUGCUCUGGGGGACUGAGUACUCUUCUAAAAAUUUGCUAGUCUUUUUGUUAACAAAAAGCAAGGUUCACACUAUGAACAUUGGUAGCGUUUGGUGUCAUGAAAGAAGCUUUGUCAAAUUGAAGCUCUUAUUCAAUUAUUGGAUCAUCUGAAUAGACAAGUUCUUGGUGAUUUUUAGCUUUGUUUGGCCUCUGGUUAUUAUGCUGAUUUUGUUGAAUGUCUUCACAGUAAGAUGGGAGUCUGAUUAUUUCAAUUAGGUAUGAUCCCUUUUAUGUUAUGACUUGAGGAAUUUAAUGAUGAUAUGUCAAUACAAUAAAGCUAAAUCCACUAAUGAUGGAGGAAUCAGAUGAAGUAAUCACUUGUAGAAAAUUAAUUUUCUUCUGGCCGUUUGGGAGUUCUCUCGAGCUGUUGAAUCUCAAUUGGAGAGACAGUGAGAUAAACCUUGAAAUUUUUUUUUUCAGGUAGCAUUUUGUUGCUGUAGCAUUAAAUCUGUAUUUUGCUCUACUAUGUACAAUUGUUGUUGAAGUAGUUGCUCAAAUUCUUUUGAUCAGUGUGAACUGCUGUUGUUUUGUACAUCGCAUGAAAAGAAAAUGGAUAUUCUGGCCCUAAGCUGUCUGGCUGGGCAGCAAAAAUAUUGCUUUUCUAUUAAUAAAGUGUUAUAUUUUUUAACCCAUGCUAGAUGAUGGUUGAAUAUUUAUGCAGAAUUGUUUCAAAUAGAAUUGAAUGGCAAAAAAAGGAUUCAUAGUUGAUGGUUGCUAGUUACACUUUUCACUUUUUACAAGUUUGCCUUCUUUCAUUUACUAUUUCAUGGGUCCACAAUUAGAAAUGUGUAUUGCUUUAUAGCUAGAAGCCACUUGAAGUCUUGAAGAAUGGGUUCUCUUUUUGGAGAAAAAAAGGAGAGAGAAUGUUGAAAGUAAUCACUUCCACCGAAAAUAGCACUUUCUAUUCUUUUUAAAUAUCAACUACUUAAACAGCACUCUCUAGUUUAGUUUGCUCUGUAUUUCAGGUUCAAUAAUUUCGCAACUCUUCCAACGGUUCACAAAUGGUGUCUGCCUCAAAUGCAUUUAUGUCCUUGUACAUUCCCAUCUUCCUAAUCCUCCCUGUAAUUUUCUCCAUCUCUACUGCUGUCCAUACUAUCCCACUAAAUGGUACCUGUCUUGAUACUUGCGGCACAAUACCUGUGAAGUUCCCUUUUGGCACUGGAUUUGGAUGUGGACACCCUGACUUUGCUAGAUACGUGAGAUGCAACUCAGGCACUCUGGAAUUUUCUACGGGCACUGGCAUUUACACCAUCUCCUCAAUUGAUUACCCAAGCAACACUUUGAUUGUCAGAGACCCUCUCAUGUCAACUUGCAGUUCAAUGCAGGACUCAGGAAGCUUUAGCUUGGAUCGGGCUAGUCCAUUCACUUUAACAGGAGAUAAUAUCUUUGUUUUGCUAGGAUGCUCUACCACUUCUCCUGUAUUUGACCCAAAAGAAGAUUUGUGCGACACAGGGUCAGGUUCUCGUGUUUGUAGAGGAUUAUAUUCUUGUAAGGGAGUCUCAGGAAUUGGGUUGCCACAGAAUGCACCGAUAUCUACAUGCUGUGUUUAUGAGUCACCUAUUCAACUUGCAGGCUACACAUUGGAUCUUCCCAAACUCCAAUGCUCUUCAUAUACAUCAGUAUACAGUUUUGGGGGCAAUGAGGGAGAUCCGAUGAAAUGGAAUUUUGGGAUAUCUCUACAAUAUAAUGGUUCAUAUUAUAGUAAUAUCUGCAAGGAUUGUGAAUCUAGUGGGGGCUUGUGUGGCUUUGCAGGUUUUGAUCGGUCAUUUGCCUGCAUAUGCCGGAAUGGGAAGAAUACAACCACCAGUUGCUUUGCUCAAGGUUAGUUCACUGUUCACGCCAUUUCUUUUUUUGUUCAAUCAUUAAACUGGUCCAGCAGGGCUUGUGGGCUGUUCUUCAUUUAUUUUUUUCUCAGCUUGAAUUUGCGUAUCUGAAUUAUGGCCUUGAUUGAAUAGGGCUUGCCUGGAGCGGGACAUGGGGAUCAAAAGUUCAAACCAAGUUCAGUCUUGCAGGUGGGAUGCCUUAACUUUUGUCAAACUCUACUUUUUAUGCUGAUUACUUUUUGCAACAAAAGUCUUCUCAUACUUGAGAUUUUUGUCAUUGGCUACUGUAGUGCUUUCCAAUGCCCUCUUUCCUUUUCCCUCAAUUAUAUCAGGGACACACACUAUAGCGCCUAGCCUGAGGGUGUUAAACUGGUCAAAGAAAAAAUAAUUAAAGAAAAACAAAAAAAAAAUCUUUAACAGUUGUAUGGAAUCCUGUUGUGUUGGUGGUACACGUAUAUGGGUGUGUAUUGCCCUACUAGUGUGCUACUAAUAGCAAAUCUAUUAGGAAAUAAUAAAAAAAAUAAAUUGAGUACUGAUUUCCAGAUGAUGACAGAUAAUUCCAUAGGCCUCCUUUGAUGACAAAACCUAAGUUGUGGAGCCUAUAGCUAUUUCUCUAAUUCAUAAUUUAUAAUGUCUUGAAAUAUUGCAUAGAAUUUUCCUUGUCAAAAAUCAAUCUUUGAAUAAGUUUUGACUCAGUUGCAAAAACAUGCCAUUCGCAUGGAUAAAUCGUUCUUCCACCAUGUUAUUGCAUCUUUAAACAGUUGAACAAAUCAUAUAUUCAGAAGUCUUCUGACAAAAUUUGCAUGCAUGAAGUCUUGCGUUAAUAAGCAGUUUUCUUAACCGUUCUUUUUGUUUUAGUAAAAUUAUUAUUUAUUUUUUUUUAUUUUAAAAAUUAUAUUAAUUAAUUCUCAUAUUUUAUUUUAAUUUACUUUUUAAUUCCUUUGAUUAUUUUAAAAGUUAAUUUAAACUUCAUUCAAUCUCUAUAAUUUAAAAAACACAAUCAUAUAGUUCUUAUAACGAUAACUUCUCUCGUUUGAAUAUAUUGAUUGACAUAAAACUUAAUUUAAAUUGAAUCAAGAGACUAAAAAAUAGAUAAAAUAAAAUAUAUAAGCUAACUAAUAUAUUUUUAAAAUAGAAAAAUCAAAUAUUUAGUUUCAUUAAAAUAGAAGAUUAAAUAAUAAUUUUUCUUUUUUUUUACCCAACUUCUAUGCAUUGGUGUUUCUCUAACAUUUUUCCAAUCUUUCUUUGGUUUUGUAGGAAUUUGCCUUCUAUGGCUUGUGCUUUCCAUUUGAAGUAGGUAGAAUGCUUUCAAAAUUGUAUGGCACAAAAAAGUCAAACCAAAAGCUUCUCGCAUUUUGACUGAUUGCGGUGCUGUAAUUUCAAUUAAUUUCUACAUGAAAAUAUUCUUAAGCAGGUUCUUGAUUUAGCUUGGUUGAAUUUGUGUUCUAUCUUCAUGUUCUGUAUAAUAGCUGUAAACAUCUAAUGAUAUGCUGGGUAUGUCAUUUUCCCCUGUUUACAAAUUAGAAUUUUAUAAGAAUUUAAUUUAACUGAUUUAU
Molecule: unclassified non-coding RNA, 5771 nt
Filed under: Hevea brasiliensis (rubber tree)
Lineage: Eukaryota; Viridiplantae; Streptophyta; Magnoliopsida; Malpighiales; Euphorbiaceae
Source: RNAcentral